Molecule: ribosomal RNA, 397 nt
Filed under: uncultured bacterium
Lineage: Bacteria
Description: partial 16S ribosomal RNA
Rfam family: Bacterial small subunit ribosomal RNA
Source: RNAcentral
AUACGUAGGACCCGAGCGUUGUCCGGAUUUACUGGGUAUAAAGGGUGCGUAGGCGGCCCGGUAAGUCUGGAGUGAAAGUCCUGCUUUCAAGGUGGGAAUUGCUUUGGAUACUGCCGCGCUUGAGUGCAGGAGAGGUUAUCGGAAUUCCCGGUGUAGCGGUGAAAUGCGUAGAGAUCGGGAGGAACACCAGUGGCGAAGGCGGGUAACUGGACUGCAACUGACGCUGAGGCGCGAAAGUGUGGGGAGCAAACAGGAUUAGAUACCCUGGUAGUCCACACUGUAAACGAUGAAUGCUAGGUGUAAGAGGUAUCGACCCCUUUUGUGCCGGAGUCAACACAAUAAGCAUUCCGCCUGGGGAGUACGGCCGCAAGGUUGAAACUCAAAGGAAUUGACGGGG